CGAAGCUUCCGGUAUCAGAGGACCAUCACUAUCUGGUAGCGUCUCUGGCUGCUGUUGACCUUGUUUUUGGUGUAAAACACGGUGGAAGCUGAAUUAGUGAGGAUGACUCCUGCUCCUGUCAUCUCUAAGCUCCUCACACAUCUUUACCUGCACAUGAGGAAAAUCACUCCUGUAGAAUGCAGAUGUUCAGAGGGAGAUGAUGCCACAUCUGGUCCAGCUGAUGGAAGGUCUUGAAGUUCUCUGACUGGCCUCGACUGAAGAUAGUCGUCUCACUGGAUUUAAGAUGCACAAUGAGGGACGUCUGCAGAGACUGAGAAAGAGUCUCACCACAUCCUGACAUGAGGAAAAAGACUUUAUUGAAGACUACAAUGAGAAAAACUAUCAGACAGCAGACAGCUGCAUUCAAGUCUGUAGCUGCUGAAUUCAUGGAUGAAUCAUCUGGCACUAGAGAAGAAGACCAUCAAACAUCCAUGUCAGCUGAUGGAGGUCCAAGAGUCUCACCAAACAAACAACCUACAGAGUGAAGACCUCAAAUCUGAUUGGACGGCCUCCUAUUCAGCCACGUGUGAACAAAUGCCUCUAAGCUGAUUUGUUUUCUAAAAUAAAUCUAGUUUGAGUCCUAAUCUAUGCCUGUGUGUUUGCUUCUUUACAUCGCUGUUAACAGUUUAGGCUAUUAGAUUGUUCCAGAUAAGACAAGUACAAGAUUCUUCAGAGCCGUUCUACUACGAGCCUGACAGGAAGAACUCCAACAGCUACUGAAUGUUCCUGUGGUUCCCUCAAGGCUACAGGAGGAGCCCUACGAGUACGAGCCGGUCCACCUGAUGGCGGCCAGUCGCUGUGGUUCAAAGCCAACACCGACUACGUGGACUUCUACUGGACCACACGGAGGCCUUCAAACCGGACCAACAAGUUCACCGACUCCCCGACUCGUGGGUCUGAGGACGCCGCCGAGCCUCGGUCCAGCCGGCCUCCUGUCUGUGGGUGUUUGAGUGCUGAGAGGUUUGUGGAUGCAUGUGAACGUGUCUGUGUUGAAACAGCAGCUUUUGACUCAGUAACGCUGGGAAAAACCAAGAGCUCCUUUAUUUGUGACUUCCACUAAAAAACUGAUGAAAAUAAGUUUGCCAGGGUUCUGACUGAUAACAGAUUAUUAAAUAAUGAAAAUAACUGUUUAAAUAUUCCUUUAAACAAUCCUUUUAGGUCUACAUUUCCUUUACACUGACUUCUUGGUAUUUUGGGUGGAAUAUAUCAUCAGACUAACCUCCAAGGUCUACAGUCGUGAAUUUUAUGUCGAAUGUACCAUUAAACUCACCUUUUAGGUCUACAUUGGAGGAUUUUAGGUGGAAUUCUCUUCCAAACUGUCUUUUAGUCUACAUUUAAGGAUGUUUAGGAUGGUAUAUUCUUCCGAACCAACUUCUCAGGUCUACAUUUCAGGUGGAAUAUUCCUCCAUACUAACUUUUUUGGUCUACACUGAAGGAUUUUUUCUAAACAACCCUUUCGGGUCUAUAUUUGAGGUUUUAGGUGGAAUAUUCCUUUUAACCAGCCCCUCAGGUCUCUUUGAGGAUUUUGGAUGGAAUACUCGGUUAAAGCAACAUUUUAGGUGCAUGUCCAAGGGUUUUUGGUAGAAUGUUCCUUUAAGGUGGAUGUUUGAGGACCUUGUAGGUGGAAUACUUCCUGAAACCAACCUUUUAGGUCAACAUUCAAAGAUUUAAGGUGGAAUAUUCCUUUAAACCAACCUAAAUUUCAUGUUUUGAUCGUUAUCAAGUGAGAAACCUCAAUCCAGACUCCUCAUAAUGACAUUUGAGAUUUAUGCUGCUGUUAUUUGUUUAGUCCAGACUAAAUGACAGAAAUCCACAACUGUAAUUUUAUUUCAGGACUCAGUUAUUAAAUUCAAUUCAAUUCAAUUUUAUUUAUAUAGCGCCAAUUACAGUCAAAUUGUCUCGAGACGCUUUACAGAACCAAUAUGCCUGACCUCCAGAGCAAGCCAAAAGGUGACAGUGGCAAGGAAAACACCCUUUUAACAGGGAAAAAAACCUCGAGCAGAACCCGGCUCUAAUGUGGGGGGACCCAUCUGCCUGCUGACCGGGCGGGUUGAGAGGGACAGAAGAGGUAGAGGGGAAGACAAAACAAUCCAUGUGACUCUAAAAACUAAACAGCUGUACAAACUCUAAGAUUAAACUCUCCACAAGGAGCCAAAAUAAGUUGGACUUCUACAUGAGAGCUUUAAUUAUUCUUCAUCUACUUCCUGAAAAAUUUGGUCAAUAAAAAAGGCAAAAACUAAUAUUUUCAGCUGAACGAAAGACAGACUGUGAUUUUUCUGCUCACAUGUGUUGUUGUAAACUUGCUCUUUCAAAUAAAUAGCCGCCUAACCCCCUGGAAACCAGCGUUUGUCCUGUUUUUGUGUUGCUCCUCAGUGACCCUAGACAGCCGGGUCGUAAUGUUUUUUGAGCAACACACCAUACUAUGACGUUUUUACAAUGAUGGUUCUACUAUGAAACCAGUUUGACAUGUUCAGGUGUUCUUUGUGUGAAAACUCAG
Molecule: long non-coding RNA, 2536 nt
Organism: Amphiprion ocellaris (clown anemonefish)
Lineage: Eukaryota; Metazoa; Chordata; Actinopteri; Pomacentridae
Source: Ensembl